GACGAACGCUGGCCGCGUGCUUAACACAUGCAAGUCGAACGCUGAAACCCUGGUGCUUGCACCGGGGUGGAUGUGUGGCGAACGGGUGAGUAACACGUGAGUAACCUGCCCCCGACUUCGGGAUAAGCCCGGGAAACUGGGUCUAAUACCGGAUAUGAGCGCCCCUCGCAUGAGGGAUGCUGGCAAGUCUUUUCGGUUGGGGAUGGGCUCGCGGCCUAUCAGUUUGUUGGUGAGGUAAUGGCUCACCAAGACGACGACGGGUAGCCGGCCUGAGAGGGCGACCGGCCACACUGGGACUGAGACACGGCCCAGACUCCUACGGGAGGCAGCAGUGGGGAAUAUUGCACAAUGGGGGAAACCCUGAUGCAGCGACGCAGCGUGCGGGAUGACGGCCUUCGGGUUGUAAACCGCUUUCAGCAGGGAAGAAGCCCCUUGGGGUGACGGUACCUGCAGAAGAAGUACCGGCUAACUACGUGCCAGCAGCCGCAGUAA
Molecule: ribosomal RNA, 492 nt
Filed under: uncultured bacterium
Lineage: Bacteria
Description: partial 16S ribosomal RNA
Rfam family: Bacterial small subunit ribosomal RNA
Source: RNAcentral